This 450-nucleotide ribosomal RNA is filed under the name uncultured bacterium. Its description in RNAcentral is "partial 16S ribosomal RNA". It matches the Rfam family "Bacterial small subunit ribosomal RNA", at positions 354 to 796 of the family's 1533-position model. The record is from RNAcentral.
GUGGGGAAUCUUCCGCAAUGGACGAAAGUCUGACGGAGCAACGCCGCGUGAGUGAAGAAGGUUUUCGGAUCGUAAAGCUCUUUCGUUAGGGACGAACGUGCUCUUUGUGAAUAAUGAGGAGUAAUGACGGUACCUAAAUAAGAAGCCACGGCUAACUACGUGCCAGCAGCCGCGGUAAUACGUAGGUGGCAAGCGUUGUCCGGAAUUAUUGGGCGUAAAGCGCGCGCAGGCGGGAUAUCAAGUCUGUCUUAAAAGUGCGAGGCUCAACCUCGUGAGGGGACAGAAACUGGUAUUCUUGAGUGUCGGAGAGGAAAGUGGAAUUCCAAGUGUAGCGGUGAAAUGCGUAGAGAUUUGGAAGAACACCAGUGGCGAAGGCGACUUUCUGGACUGUAACUGACGCUGAGGCUCGAAAGCCAGGGGAGCGAACGGGAUUAGAUACCCCUGUAGUCC